This 513-nucleotide ribosomal RNA is filed under the name uncultured bacterium. Its description in RNAcentral is "bacterial SSU rRNA". It matches the Rfam family "Bacterial small subunit ribosomal RNA", at positions 14 to 518 of the family's 1533-position model. The record is from RNAcentral.
CGAUCUGGCUCAGGAUGAACGCUAGCUACAGGCUUAACACAUGCAAGUCGAGGGGCAGCAUGAUCGAAGCUGCUUGAUUGAUGGCGACCGGCGCACGGGUGAGUAACGCGUAUCCAACCUUCCCUAUAGUAGAGAAUAGCCCGGCGAAAGUCGGAUUAAUGCUCUAUGUUGUAUUUAGAGGACAUCUGAAGAAUACCAAAGGUUUACCGCUAUAGGAUGGGGAUGCGUCUGAUUAGGUUGUUGGCGGGGUAACGGCCCACCAAGCCCACGAUCAGUAGGGGUUCUGAGAGGAAGGUCCCCCACAUUGGAACUGAGACACGGUCCAAACUCCUACGGGAGGCAGCAGUGAGGAAUAUUGGUCAAUGGACGCAAGUCUGAACCAGCCAAGUAAGCGUGCAGGAUGACGGCCCUAUGGGUUGUAAACUGCUUUUAUACAGGGAUAAAGUGAGGGACGUGUCCCUUUUUGUAGGUACUGUAUGAAUAAGGACCGGCUAAUUCCGUGCCAGCCGCCGC